RNAcentral lists this ribosomal RNA (264 nucleotides) under uncultured bacterium. Its description in RNAcentral is "partial 16S ribosomal RNA". It matches the Rfam family "Bacterial small subunit ribosomal RNA", at positions 355 to 611 of the family's 1533-position model. The record is from RNAcentral.
UGGGGAANAUUGCACAAUGGGCGCAAGCCUGAUGCAGCCAUGCCGCGUGUGUGAAGAAGGCCUUCGGGUUGUAAAGCACUUUCAGCGAGGAGGAAGGGUAGUGUGUUAAUAGCACAUUGCAUUGACGUUACUCGCAGAAGAAGCACCGGCUAACUCCGUGCCAGCAGCCGCGGUAAUACGGAGGGUGCAAGCGUUAAUCGGAAUUACUGGGCGUAAAGCGCACGCAGGCGGUUUGUUAAGUCAGAUGUGAAAUCCCCGCGCUUA